AGAACCAGGAACUGCUGUCCUUGCAUGACUCCAUCCCUCCCCCCAUUAUCCUCUAUGCAUAACUUAAGCUGCAUGCAAGCGAAGACCAGGGAAAACUCUCUGAGCUUAUCCUAACAAGGGAACAGCUCCGCCCCUCAUACACAGACAGUUCCAUAAACUGUAUAGCAACCAAGUUCCCUCUCCUAGGCUCCAAGCUGCCCAGCCUCCCACCUGUAGACUCAAAACACCACCAGGUUUGGAGACUCAUGGCAGCCCACUCCAGUCCUCUUGCCUGGAAAAUCCCACGGACGAAGGAGCCUGGCGGGUUACAGUCCCUGGGGUCGCAGAGAGUCGGACAGGACUGAGCGACUUCACUUUCACUUUCCGAGACUCAUGCCAAAACGUCCGCACGGAACCCUUCUCUCAGAACUGCAUCGCGCCUGAUUUCCUGCCGGUGCCAUGUUCCUCUGUGACUUUGAUGGCAUCCCUCCCUUCCUUUCCUCGGGGCACGGAGCGAUCUCCGAGCUCUAUUAGC
Bos taurus (domestic cattle) is the source of this 514-nucleotide long non-coding RNA. Lineage: Eukaryota; Metazoa; Chordata; Mammalia; Artiodactyla; Bovidae. The record is from Ensembl.